Molecule: non-coding RNA, 74 nt
Organism: Trichomycterus rosablanca
Lineage: Eukaryota; Metazoa; Chordata; Actinopteri; Siluriformes; Trichomycteridae
Source: the annotation of a RefSeq genome assembly
GACGAGGUGGCCGAGUGGUUAAGGCGAUGGACUGCUAAUCCAUUGUGCUCUGGGUUUGAAUCCCAUCCUCGUCG